Columba livia (rock pigeon) is the source of this 1203-nucleotide long non-coding RNA. RefSeq lists it as uncharacterized. The transcript is spliced from 2 exons. The record is from RefSeq and is a predicted model, not a curated record. Lineage: Eukaryota; Metazoa; Chordata; Aves; Columbiformes; Columbidae.
CCUGUGAUGGUGGUGAGACACUGGACCAGGCCUUCCAUAGAAGCUGUGAUUGCCCCAUCUUGGAAGUGUUUAAAGCUCAGCUGGAAGGGCCUUUGAGAAACUUUUCCUUGUGAAAGGUGUCCUUGUCCACGUGAGGGGGGUAGAACAAAAUUAUAUUUAAGGACCUUUAGAAUCAAAACUCGUUCUGUGAUUCACAGCUCAUUCCAGUUACUAUGAAGUGGGAGCAAAAUAUUUCAGAUGAAAGGGGCAGGGACUCAAUCACCAGCAAGGCUUUGGCAAGCAACAACUAAUGGGAGCUUAGAUGCUUCAUGAGCAAGGAAUGUUUGUGGCCCCACAGAGCACUAGGACACAGCAUAAAAGCCUGCGCUGCUCCAGGCUCUGCAUCCUCCUCUCUUGCCUCCCUUUCCUCCAGGAACGAGCUUUGCCCCCCUCACCGAGAGAUGUCUUGCUUCAGACCCUGUAUCCCAGCACCUUGUGGUUCCUCUGGCCCAACCCCACUUGCAAGCAGCUGCAGUGAGCCCUGUGUGGCCCGCUGUGGUGACUCGACGGUGGCCAUCGAGGCCGCCCCAGUGGUGGUGACCCUGCCGGGCCCCAUCCUCACUUCUUUCCCUCAGAACACAGUUGUGGGAUCCUCUCUGUCAGCUGCCGUUGGGAGCUCCCUCAGCACUGGGGGGGUUCCCAUCUCUUCUGGGGGCUCCCUUGGUCUGGGGGGGUCAGGGCUGUGCCUGCCUCCACCCCGCUGCCGACUGAACUGCUGAACCUGGUGCAUCGUCCCUUCUGGAGCAGGAAGAAUGAUGGGGACUGCACAGCAGGAGUGUGGCCAGGCCUUGCAGAUGGGCUGGGUGUCCUCAUGCCAGCUGGCAGGAGGGACCUGUGCCCACGGCUCCUGGCUGCACGUCAGGCCUCGCUGUGCCUCCUCUGGCUCUGCUUUGCUCUGAGCUCCUUGAGAAAGGGCUCGUUCUCUUCUGCUUUGCUGAACCUCCUGGUGCUGGGGGAGGGUGCUGGAGUUAGGGACUGCUCUUGCUGGGCUGGGAUUGCCAGCAGGUGGAGCAGAAUGGGGAAAGGCAAGUGCUUGGUGUUUCAAGCUUGUCCUUGGGCAAUGGGCUGUUCUCUGUGUUGCCCUGAACCCUGCAGAUGUGUUUCUUGGUCUCUGUUCUGUGCCACUGCUUUUGCUCCUUCUCAUUAAAGACUUUGCGCAGCAUA